Molecule: ribosomal RNA, 468 nt
Filed under: uncultured bacterium
Lineage: Bacteria
Description: partial 16S ribosomal RNA
Rfam family: Bacterial small subunit ribosomal RNA
Source: RNAcentral
GACGAACGCUGGCGGCGUGCUUAACACAUGCAAGUCGAACGGAAAGGCCCUGCUUUUGUGGGGUGCUCGAGUGGCGAACGGGUGAGUAACACGUGAGUAACCUGCCCUUGACUUUGGGAUAACUUCAGGAAACUGGGGCUAAUACCGGAUAGGAGCUCCUGCUGCAUGGUGGGGGUUGGAAAGUUUCGGCGGUUGGGGAUGGACUCGCGGCUUAUCAGCUUGUUGGUGGGGUAGUGGCUUACCAAGGCUUUGACGGGUAGCCGGCCUGGGAGGGUGACCGGCCACAUUGGGCCUGAGAUACGGCCCAGACGCCUACGGGAGGCAGCAGUGGGGAAUAUUGCACAAUGGGCGGAAGCCUGAUGCAGCAACGCCGCGUGCGGGAUGACGGCCUUCGGGUUGUAAACCGCUUUCGCCUGUGACGAGGCGUGAGUGACGGUAAUGGGUAAAGAAGCACCGGCUAACUACGUG